UAAAACGUAUUUAUUUGAUUCAUUGAAUGUGUGUUUACAUCUUUUUGGGACAUCUUGUAUUCUAACACUUGCCACUUUAGAGUUCUUAGGUUUAUAAUGAUGAAGUCGGUCACGUAGUGAAGGGUAGAAUCAGCUCUCGACGUUGAAGGACGGGAGACGGAAUCCAUAUUCCUCUGCAUUUUAGAAUUGGCCCAUGUUUAGUGGUUCCCUUGUCGCCACGGCGAACAGAUUGGGGUAGCCUCAGAGCAUGUCUGGAUGCUGACACUCUCGUCCAGCUGAUAGCUUAGUCACUAUGAUGACUGAGCCAUCAGCUCCUUGUGUACAUUCAAAAUAUUCUGUGGAACUGUCGGUAGAUUAGCAUUUUCCAUCCUUUUCCAAGUUGGUCGUAGUUGUCUGCCGUAUGGCAACACUGCGGUUGGCGUAUGUCACUUCCUACAGCCUACCUGAUGAGUGAAAGUUUGCUGUGGCGAGAAGGCAAGGUAAAGGUUUGGCAUUGCAUUCAGACUGUAGUGGGGCUGUAGUAAGAGGUAGGAUGGCAUGGCCGCGAGCCCUGAAGCCGCACGAGUAUGUUGUGGUGCAGCAGGCAGAUUUCGAAGAACAUGCAGAAGACGUCAUCAGUCCCUGUAUAGACCUGUCCGAUGUACGUCGACUGGUAAGUGAUGUGUGGCAACGUUGCAUUGUAUCACCAUAACCAAUCCUUUGUUAUGACUGACUUAUGUGUCUCCCGUAUUUUUAACCAACAUACUGUUUUCGUUGUCCGUCCAUAUUUGAAGUGCCGGCGAAAAAAAUUUACGUGCGCAAUCCUGGAGGACGGAUGGGUUGCUUCUUCGUCUGACUUCUUGCCUCUUAGGGAGGCCCUGCCGGUGUAACUUGAGGGGUCAUUGAAACACAACGUUCCACCACCACAUCAAGGUCACGCAACUCCUCGGUGGAGUCGAAACAUUGCCCUGUCUGUUUUCCGAGAUCGGAAAGACAAAACAAGUAUUUUCUUCCAUUUGUUUUGAAUGGUUGUGUAACGUGAAGCGAUGCUUUUCCAGCGUUAAACACGUGCAAUAGUUUCAAAAGAAAUUGAGGGGAAUUUCUGGAGGACGGAUGUGGACAGAUCACGGAUGUAGGCCUGCUUGAAGUUUCCGUAAUUCAUACUUAGUUUGCCGUUAUGUAAACAUUGUUUACAGUCACUGGCGUUUUUGUCGCAGUGGAAUUUCCAGUAAUUGGUCUGUUCUGCCAUAACUGUGACGUGUUUUGUAAUAUUAUUAGUAUUAUCAUCAUCAUCAAGUUGAAGGUAGGACAGACUCGUUCCGUCUCGCAAGAGAUGUUGAUGUUUCUUACAGCGUAAAAACAUGCAAUCAGAUGGUCUGCAAUCUAACAACCUCUGUUAAAAGGAUACAGUGUAAAUGUUACAUGUAAUGAGAAGAAUUAAGAAUUGUGACAAAUGACACUCGUCAGCUCAGUGUGAACUAGGCUUGGUACUUGUAGCAGUCAAUGCAUUGCCAUUGUUUAUAUUUGGUGUACCACAGUUUUCGUGAAUGGGACUGCUUAAGUUUGUAAUAAAUUACACAUGUUCUGUA
Molecule: non-coding RNA, 1568 nt
Organism: Zootermopsis nevadensis
Lineage: Eukaryota; Metazoa; Arthropoda; Insecta; Blattodea; Termopsidae
Source: RefSeq, a predicted model, not a curated record